Molecule: ribosomal RNA, 1692 nt
Rfam family: Bacterial large subunit ribosomal RNA
GCUGGAGGUAUCACGAGUGCGAAUGCUGACAUGAGUAACGAUAAAGGGAGUGAAAAACUCCCUCGCCGGAAGACCAAGGGUUUCUGUUCGACGCUAAUCGGAGCAGAGUGAGUCGGCCCCUAAGGCGAGGCCGAAAGGCGUAGUCGAUGGGAAACAGGUCAAUAUUCCUGUACCGGACAUGAUUGCGAUGGGGGGACGGAGAAGGCUAGGUGAGCCAGGCGUUGGUUGUCCUGGUGAAAGUGAGUAGGCUGGUAUCUUAGGUAAAUCCGGGAUGCCUUAAGGCCGAGACACGAAACGAACUGACUACGGUCAGGAAGUCAUUGAUGCCACGCUUCCAGGAAAAGCCUCUAAGCUUCAGAUCAUGUGCGACCGUACCCCAAACCGACACAGGUGGUCAGGGUGAGAAUCCCAAGGCGCUUGAGAGAACUCGGGUGAAGGAACUAGGCAAAAUGGUGCCGUAACUUCGGGAGAAGGCACGCCGGCGUAGGGUGACGAGACUUGCUCUCUAAGCCCGAACCGGUCGAAGAUACCAGGUGGCUGCAACUGUUUAGUAAAAACACAGCACUCUGCUAACGCGCAAGCGGACGUAUAGGGUGUGACGCCUGCCCGGUGCCGGAAGGUUAAAUGAUGGUGUUAGGAUUCGUCCGAAGCUCUUGAUUGAAGCCCCGGUAAACGGCGGCCGUAACUAUAACGGUCCUAAGGUAGCGAAAUUCCUUGUCGGGUAAGUUCCGACCUGCACGAAUGGCGUAAUGAUGGCCACGCUGUCUCCACCCGAGACUCAGUGAAAUUGAAAUCGCCGUGAAGAUGCGGUGUACCCGCGGCUAGACGGAAAGACCCCGUGAACCUUUACUAUAGCUUCACACUGGACGCUGAUGUUGCCUGUGUAGGAUAGCUGGGAGGCUUUGAAUCUCGGACGCCAGUUCGAGGGGAGCCAACCUUGAAAUACCAGCCUGGCAUCAUUGGCGUUCUCACUCAGGUCCGUUAUCCGGAUCGAGGACAGUGUGUGGUGGGUAGUUUGACUGGGGCGGUCUCCUCCCAAAGAGUAACGGAGGAGCACGAAGGUACCCUCAGCACGGUCGGACAUCGUGCAGUGAGUGCAAGAGCAUAAGGGUGCUUGACUGCGAGACAGACACGUCGAGCAGGUGCGAAAGCAGGUUCUAGUGAUCCGGUGGUUCUGUAUGGAAGGGCCAUCGCUCAACGGAUAAAAGGUACUCCGGGGAUAACAGGCUGAUACCGCCCAAGAGUUCACAUCGACGGCGGUGUUUGGCACCUCGAUGUCGGCUCAUCACAUCCUGGGGCUGAAGUCGGUCCCAAGGGUAUGGCUGUUCGCCAUUUAAAGUGGUACGCGAGCUGGGUUUAGAACGUCGUGAGACAGUUCGGUCCCUAUCUGCCGUGGGCGUUGGAUGUUUGAGAAGGGCUGCUCCUAGUACGAGAGGACCGGAGUGGACGCACCUCUGGUGUUCCGGUUGUCACGCCAGUGGCAUUGCCGGGUAGCUAUGUGCGGACGGGAUAACCGCUGAAAGCAUCUAAGCGGGAAGCCCCCUUCAAGAUGAGACAUCCCUGAGGCCUAGAGCCUCCUGAAGGGCCCAGCGAGACCAGCUGGUUGAUAGGCACGGUGUGGAAGCGCUGCAAGGCGUUGAGCUAACGUGUACUAAUGGCCCGUGAGGCUUGACCCUAUAACACCCAAGGGGU